Molecule: ribosomal RNA, 254 nt
Filed under: uncultured bacterium
Lineage: Bacteria
Description: partial 16S ribosomal RNA
Rfam family: Bacterial small subunit ribosomal RNA
Source: RNAcentral
UACGUAGGGGCCUAGCGUUGUCCGGAUUUAUUGGGCGUAAAGAGCUCGUAGGCGGUUUGGUAAGUCGGGUGUGAAAUCUCCACGCUCAACGUGGAGGGGCCACCCGAUACUGCCAUGACUGGAGUCCGGUAGGGGAGUGUGGAAUUCCCAGUGUAGAGGUGAAAUUCGUAGAGAUUGGGAAGAACACCGGUGGCGAAGGCGGCCAACUGGACCGGCAUUGACGCUGAUGAGCGAAAGCCAGGGGAGCAAACGGG